This is a long non-coding RNA of Oncorhynchus keta (chum salmon), 344 nucleotides long. RefSeq lists it as uncharacterized. The record is from RefSeq and is a predicted model, not a curated record. Lineage: Eukaryota; Metazoa; Chordata; Actinopteri; Salmoniformes; Salmonidae. The transcript is spliced from 3 exons.
GUGUGCGUAGCAGGCUGCAGGUCUCUCUCCCCUCCCUCACCUGGUUGUGUGUGCGUAGCAGGCUGCAGGUCUCUCUCCCCUCCCUCACCUGGUUGUGUGUGCGUAGCAGGCUGCAGGUCUCUCUCCCCUCCCUCACCUGGUUGUGUGUGCGUAGCAUGCUGCAGGUCUCUCUCCCCUCCCUCACCUGGUUGUGUGUGCGUAGCAGGCUGCAGGUCUCUCUCCCCUCCCUCACCUGGUUGUGUGUGCGUAGCAGGCUGCAGGUCUCUCUCCCCUCCCUCACCUGGUUGUGUGUGCGUAGCAGGCUGCAGGUCUCUCUCCCCUCCCUCACCUGGUUGUGUGUGCGU